AUUGAACGCUGGCGGCAGGCCUAACACAUGCAAGUCGAACGGUAACAGGAAGAAGCUUGCUUCUUUGCUGACGAGUGGCGGACGGGUGAGUAAUGUCUGGGAAACUGCCUGAUGGAGGGGGAUAACUACUGGAAACGGUAGCUAAUACCGCAUAACGUCGCAAGACCAAAGAGGGGGACCUUCUGGCCUCUUGCCAUCGGAUGUGCCCAGAUGGGAUUAGCUAGUAGGUGGGGUAACGGCUCACCUAGGCGACGAUCCCUAGCUGGUCUGAGAGGAUGACCAGCCACACUGGAACUGAGACACGGUCCAGACUCCUACGGGAGGCAGAAGUGGGGAAUAUUGCACAAUGGGCGCAAGCCUGAUGCAGCCAUGCCGCGUGUAUGAAGAAGGCCUUCGGGUUGUAAAGUACUUUCAGCGGGGAGGAAGGGAGUAAAGUUAAUACCUUUGCUCAUUGACGUUACCCGCAGAAGAAGCACCGGCUAACUCCGUG
This 490-nucleotide ribosomal RNA is filed under the name uncultured bacterium. RNAcentral describes it as "partial 16S ribosomal RNA". It matches the Rfam family "Bacterial small subunit ribosomal RNA", at positions 30 to 507 of the family's 1533-position model. The record is from RNAcentral.